RNAcentral lists this transfer RNA (76 nucleotides) under Bacillota bacterium. RNAcentral describes it as "tRNA-Lys". It matches the Rfam family "tRNA". From Rfam's summary of the family: Transfer RNA (tRNA) molecules are approximately 80 nucleotides in length. Their secondary structure includes four short double-helical elements and three loops (D, anti-codon, and T loops). The record is from RNAcentral. Lineage: Bacteria; Bacillati; Bacillota. RNAcentral also lists the same sequence under 1 other name.
GGGCGUGUAGCUCAGUUGGAAGAGCAGCUGACUCUUAAUCAGCGGGUCGAGGGUUCGAGGCCUUCCACGCCCACCA